CGCGUAGGCGGUUUGUUAAGUCAGAUGUGAAAGCCCCGGGCUCAACCUGGGAACUGCAUUUGAUACUGUCAAGCUAGAGUAUGGUAGAGGGAAGUGGAAUUCCGGGUGUAGCGGUGAAAUGCGUAGAUAUCCGGAAGAACACCAGUGGCGAAGGCGGCUCCCUGGACCAAUACUGACGCUGAGGUGCGAAAGCGUGGGGAGCAAACA
Molecule: ribosomal RNA, 207 nt
Filed under: uncultured bacterium
Lineage: Bacteria
Description: partial 16S ribosomal RNA
Rfam family: Bacterial small subunit ribosomal RNA
Source: RNAcentral